CCCCCGCGGCUCCACCCCUGCCCUAAUCGCCGCGACCGCCAAAGUGUCUGUUUUUCUUCGGCGACUGCGGCGUAUCCUCGGUGAACAACGGCUGCCUUCCUCUCCAGCGGGAAACAGCGACAUUGGCGGUGGCGUCUUCCCCUCCCGGGAUAUAGUGUGCUUCACAGUUUCUGAAGCUACUAACUACAAUAGAUAAAUAGUGGAAGGUAGUGUCAGUGCGCAUGUGUCAUAUCAAGACAUUAUUUCAGUGGUGGAGAAUUGCUUGGAUGUGAGCAUGAUAAUAAGUAAAUGAUCAAAGGUACUCUUAAUCAACACUCAAACACCAUUUAGAGACUUAAAUCUGAAAGAAAUGGUUUAUGGGAACUGAAUGCACGUGGAUUUAUGUGAGGAAUUUUAUCUGAUACAGAUGAUCAGCUGGAAGUUUUCAACUUCCUUUUGGUUGGAAGCAGAUACAGAAAAUAUAUUUAGUUUGGACUUUGGAUGUGCUUGAUCUGAGGUAGAAGAGGAGUUGGACUUAGAGAGGGCAGCAAUUAGAUUAGUUUUUUUGUAUUUUUCUGCAAACAGCACACGAUACUGCUUCAAAAGAUGAUGUUUUUGUUGCAAAAAAGGCUCUUUUGCCUUUUCCCAUGUAACAAUUCCUCCAUUUAUCUUUCCUCCUAUCAACUUUGCGGCCUGUUUAACUUUUCCACUGCCACAUACGAAAGUUCAGAGCACAGUUCCAACUUUAUAGUGGUCAACCCCCUUCAAUCAUGUGAACUUUCCUCGGAAAAGGCUGCAAAAACUGCCAAGUAUCACACCUGUCGUAAAAAUUCUUCGAGUCUUUCCAUUGAGUUCUUUAAGCAGAACGGUUGGAGCGAUGCACAAGUCAUGAAACUUACCCAGAAGGCACCCAAGUUGCUGCGUGCUAAGGUAGAGACUACACUGAAGCCCAGGAUGAGAUCUUUGCAGGACAUGGGAUUUUCUGUUGCUGAAAUAGUUCAGUUGGUUUCAAAAUGGCCGACUAUACUCUUUAAUAAUAUCCAACCGAAUUUGAACUUCUUGAGGUCACUACUUGGUUCUAAUGAGAGGUUACUGAAAGCCUGCAGGAGGAAUGGAUUUCUUCUUAAUUCUAACUUACCUCGGAAGAUAGAGCCUAAUAUAUCUCUCUUAAGGGAAUGUGGCAUCAGCAAUGAACGCAUCGCGCUUAUGGUGGUGACGAUGCCGAGUUUUGUUGUUCGAAAAAGCAAAUUUAUUAAGGAAGUUAUUGAACAUGUUGAGGAGUUGGGUGUGCCACGUGAUUGUGGAAUGUUCCCUCAUGCACUUCUUGUUGUCAUGAACGUGAGCAGAUCUAAGUGUGAUGCUACCUUUGCAACCUUGAAGAGCUUUGGUUGGUCCCAGCCAGACAUCAUUGCCAUACUCAGGAAGAGCCCAUUUGUUUGGAAACUCUCAAAGAAGAACGUAUCUGACAAGAUGACAUUCCUGAUGAAGGAAGCUGGUUGUGAGCUGCAGUAUAUCAUUCGUCAUCCUGUACUUCUUUCACUUAGCUUGGAGAAGAGGUUGAGACCUCGACGUGAAGUUAUAAAUUUUCUUGAGCAGAAUAAAUUGCUGGAUAAAGGACAUAGCCUUAUAUAUGUCUUGACACUAACUGAGCAGAAGUUCAUAAACAAAUUUCUUUUCCCGUACAAGGAGAAAUUUACUGCUCUCUAUUAUUCCUAUGUUGCUGCUGUGCAGGGAAAGCACCAUGUUGUCGUUGAAAAUUAGGAUUGCAAAUGCUCCGUCGAGACUGGCAAAGUGUAAACCUAUUGCAUACUGAUUGAUGUUGAUUUUGAUAUUUUAUUUCUAAUUAUCUUUUACGUACAACACAAGAUACCAUUUAUUUUA
Musa acuminata AAA Group (dessert banana) is the source of this 1860-nucleotide long non-coding RNA. RefSeq lists it as uncharacterized. Lineage: Eukaryota; Viridiplantae; Streptophyta; Magnoliopsida; Zingiberales; Musaceae. The record is from RefSeq and is a predicted model, not a curated record. The transcript has 2 exons.